RNAcentral lists this transfer RNA (72 nucleotides) under Marmota marmota marmota (Alpine marmot). It matches the Rfam family "tRNA". Rfam says of the family: Transfer RNA (tRNA) molecules are approximately 80 nucleotides in length. The record is from Rfam by way of RNAcentral. RNAcentral also lists the same sequence under 1 other name. Lineage: Eukaryota; Metazoa; Chordata; Mammalia; Rodentia; Sciuridae.
UGGGAUGUGGCUCAGCGGUAGAGCGCUUGCCUAGCACGGGCAGGGGACUGGGUUCGAUCCUCAGCACCACAU